Long non-coding RNA from Ailuropoda melanoleuca (giant panda), 1891 nucleotides. RefSeq lists it as uncharacterized. Lineage: Eukaryota; Metazoa; Chordata; Mammalia; Carnivora; Ursidae. The transcript has 3 exons. The record is from RefSeq and is a predicted model, not a curated record.
UUUCCUAAAAAGUUAAAAAAAAAAAAAAAAAGGAAAAAGAAGAAGAACAUGGCACAAACUAAACACCAUGAAAGUCAUCUGAUCCAACUUCAGCCCUAGUUCUACCGGUUUUUCAGUUUGGAAUAAUACAUUUCCCUCCCUUUCUUUUCUCUACUGCUGUCACACAUGCACAUGUGCACGUGCGUACACACACAACAAAUUACCCAAGGUUAAAGAGUCUCAAACAGCUUGUACCCCAAAGACCCUAGUCAAUUUUCUUGAUAGCAAAACUUCUGACUUAAUCAUGCCUUAAUUUCUCCAUUCAAUCUAGAUAACUCUUGGAAGAGCUGACUUAAGAAGUAUUCACAUUUUCUGCCAUGUGUAUUUGCCAUCUGGAAUAUCUUACAUCUCUAGUUCAAAGCUACUUUUUCUUCUUAUGUCAUUAAAGAUAAUCUCAAUUGCAUUGCUGGCCUCUUAAUUUUCCUUUAUGCUAACCACAAAGGGUGAUAAAAGAUGAAAAACAGGGGUGCCUGGCUGGCUCAGUUGGAACAGCAUGCAUCUCUUGAUCUUGGGGUCAUGAGUUCGAGCCCCAUGGUGGGUGUAGAGAUUACUUAAAAUAAAUAAACAAACUUAAAAAAAAAAGAUGGAAACCAGACCUUAAAAAUCUUAACUGAAAAUAUACUUUUCUCAGUAACCAUUCUCCUAAUUUUAAAACAACCUGAAUUUCAAAGCCAAAUAUUUUAAUUAUUGAUCAUGUUCCAUUUCCUGGAUCUCUUAAAAUUUUAAUGAUCUUUCUACAUCUUACUGCUUUUUAGACAAGAAUAAAUGUUAUGCCACCAAUGUUUACUGUAUGGUCGGUCAUCAAGAAACCCAGGAAGUGACAUUCCAUCCAACCACCAUGACAGAUGUGGUCCUUACCCAUUGGUUCGUCACUGGAACUCUUCAGGCAAACACUGAGUGGGUGGCCAUGUUGUGAGGACAAUCAGAUAAUCCACAGAGAGGCCUGUGUGAUGAGGAGCUGAGGCCUACCAGCAACCAGACUAGUGAGUUUGGAAGUCGAUCUUCUGAGGCCUCCCCACAGCCAUGUCCGUAAACUUGGGAGUGAAUCCCCCCCAAGUCCAGCCUUCAGAUGCGACUGCAGCCCUGGCUGACAGCUUAACUCCAACUUCAUGAGACACCUUGAGCCAGAGGCACCCAGGUGCAUGUAGCUUGAAGGAGCACUACUCCUUUAUGAAAUGUGUUUAUCGCCUCCUAGUGGACACCACGCAACAUGCCGUAUCCUCGGACCAAUGAGGCAGUACAGCUCUCAAGUUCUUUUGAAAUGCAGGUUAUUUCUUAAAUUGUGUGUAAAAUAGUGAUUGCCCACUAUAGUUCAUGUACCUAUCAUUCCCUCUCACUACCUUUCACAGGUCUGAUAUUUCCGGAUUUCUGGGAAUUUUGGACGUCAGAUAUGAACAUCUGGCCUGUAAAUUCUUUUUCUCUGAGAGGAGGAAGAGGGGAAGGGUGUGUAGCCAUAACGGCUAUGGCUCUAUGUGCCAGCAACUAUAGUGCACAUUUUACAUACGUUACCUAUGAUCUUCACAAUAUCCCUAUGAGGUAGGCACUUAGUCUCAGAACAGGAACCUGUAGCUCGGUGACUUUUCAAGGUGAUGCUAUUUUAACAAGUAUAGGUAGAAUUUGAAUCUAAGUUUGAAUAUAGAGCCCAUGUAAUAAAAUCCAAGUGGGCUGUAACUUCCUACAGCAUAAUAAUAUUGUGGUGAGAAUCAAAAGGAGUCACUAGAAACAACAUUUCUCAUCUAACUUGGAUUUUUUUUCUUUUGGGGAGGAGGGGGAGAAGAAGAGAGAGCAUCCCAAGCAGGCUCCAUGCCCAGUGCAUGAGCCCGACACAAGGAGCAAUUCCACGACCCCAAGA